Molecule: ribosomal RNA, 400 nt
Filed under: phytoplankton environmental sample
Lineage: Eukaryota
Description: partial small subunit ribosomal RNA
Rfam family: Eukaryotic small subunit ribosomal RNA
Source: RNAcentral
AGCUCCAUUAGCGUAUAUUAAAGUUGUUGCAGUUAAAAAGCUCGUAGUUGGAUUUCGGUUCGGGUCGGGGCGGUGGCGUCGCGAGACGUCUACCUCCCGGCCAGUCUCUCUUCCCGAAGACUGCGUGUGCUCUUCAGUGGGUGCGCGUCGGGACUCGGGACGUUUACUUUGAAAAAAUUAGAGUGUUCAAAGCAGGCAUUCAUCGUGCCCGAAUACAUGAGCAUGGAAUAAUGGAACAGGACUACGGUCACUGCACUUUUUCCGUUGGUUUCGGAGGACCGAAGUAAUGAUUAAGAGGGAUGGUUGGGGGCAUUUGUAUUCCAGCGUCAGAGGUGAAAUUCUUGGAUUGUUGGAAGACAAACAGCUGCGAAAGCGUCUGCCAAGGACAUUUUCGUUGAUC